This 532-nucleotide ribosomal RNA is filed under the name Fusarium acuminatum. Its description in RNAcentral is "eukaryotic LSU rRNA". The stretch from base 167 to 320 matches the Rfam family "5.8S ribosomal RNA". The record is from RNAcentral. RNAcentral also lists the same sequence under 1 other name. Lineage: Eukaryota; Fungi; Ascomycota; Sordariomycetes; Hypocreales; Nectriaceae.
AGCGGAGGGAUCAUUACCGAGUUUACAACUCCAAACCCCUGUGAACAUACCUUAAUGUUGCCUCGGCGGAUCAGCCCGCGCCCCGUAAAACGGGACGGCCCGCCAGAGGACCCAAACUCUAAUGUUUCUUAUUGUAACUUCUGAGUAAAACAAACAAAUAAAUCAAAACUUUCAACAACGGAUCUCUUGGUUCUGGCAUCGAUGAAGAACGCAGCAAAAUGCGAUAAGUAAUGUGAAUUGCAGAAUUCAGUGAAUCAUCGAAUCUUUGAACGCACAUUGCGCCCGCUGGUAUUCCGGCGGGCAUGCCUGUUCGAGCGUCAUUUCAACCCUCAAGCCCCCGGGUUUGGUGUUGGGGAUCGGCUCUGCCCUUCUGGGCGGUGCCGCCCCCGAAAUACAUUGGCGGUCUCGCUGCAGCCUCCAUUGCGUAGUAGCUAACACCUCGCAACUGGAACGCGGCGCGGCCAUGCCGUAAAACCCCAACUUCUGAAUGUUGACCUCGGAUCAGGUAGGAAUACCCGCUGAACUUAAGCAU